RNAcentral lists this long non-coding RNA (1235 nucleotides) under Vigna radiata. Its description in RNAcentral is "long non-coding RNA (VRAD_LNC007560)". The record is from RNAcentral. Lineage: Eukaryota; Viridiplantae; Streptophyta; Magnoliopsida; Fabales; Fabaceae.
GGAGCAGAGCUGAUGUGGUUGAACAGUUCCUCCCAGACCACAAUGAGUCCAUUUCUUCAGUUCUUGACAAGUUUGGUGCCAUGGGAAUUGACACUCCCGGGGUGGUUGCUUUGCUUGGUAUACACUACUCUACAUCCUUCCAUAAUCCAUCAUCUAAUGUACAUACACAAUAAAUUAUUAUGCAAAUCAUUCAUAAGAAAUAUUUAGCAAAAUUUGGACUUUUUGACCUUAGUGGUCCCUGUAUAUGUAAUAAUUUCCCUUCAUAAUGCAUAUAUAAAUGUAAGUGGGCUCUGUAUGAUGAAUCAGAGAUAAAGAUGUACGAAAGACAUGAAAUUCUAAAGAAAUUACAUGCUUGCUGAUUUAAGUUAUAAUGAUUGAGAUAUUUUGUUGAACAGGAGCACACAGUGUUGGUAGAACACACUGUGUGAAGUUGGUGCACCGUUUGUACCCGGAGAUUGAUUCUGCACUGAACCCUGAGCAUGUCCCUCACAUGCUGAAGAAGUGCCCUGAUGCCAUUCCAGAUCCCAAGGCCGUGCAGUAUGUGAGAAACGACCGUGGCACCCCCAUGAUUCUAGACAACAACUACUACAGAAACAUAUUGGACAACAAGGGGUUGCUGAUAGUGGAUCACCAACUAGCCAAUGACAAGAGGACCAAGCCUUAUGUGAAGAAAAUGGCCAAGAGCCAAGACUAUUUCUUCAAGGAGUUUUCUAGAGCCAUCACCUUGCUCUCUGAAAACAAUCCUCUCACUGGCACUAAGGGAGAGAUCAGAAAGCAGUGCAAUGUUGCCAACAAGCACCGUGAGGAGCCUUGAAAGUUCUUCCGGAAGAAAUCUGUAAAAUAUUAUUAUGCUGUGUUUUAUUUUAAAUGAGUAGGUUGCCUUGUCGGCAGGUUCAUGGGGAUGUCACUGUUGUUAUUUUUAUUUCAAUAAGGAUGUUAUAUUUAGUAGUCUAGUAGAAGUUGGGUAGAAGGAUAUGUUCACUGUGUUAAUUAUGAUAUCAAUGUAUGCACGUGAUUGCUGUCAUCGAUGGCAGUGACAACCAUGUUUAUGGUAUCCGCACUCAGAAGUUUGUUCUUUCUUUCAACAUAAUCAUGGUUUUUACAUUGCUAUCUAUCCUAUUCAAAUAGGCCCCAUGAUAGAGACUAGAUGAAGCAAAAUUUAGGAAUCUAUCAAGUAACAAAUGCAUAGUCUUUUAUUUUGAAUGUAGCUUGGCAAACACAUUAAGCCAAGCAUA